Long non-coding RNA from Monopterus albus (swamp eel), 579 nucleotides. RefSeq lists it as uncharacterized. NCBI's taxonomy places the organism in Eukaryota, Metazoa, Chordata, Actinopteri, Synbranchiformes, Synbranchidae. The record is from RefSeq and is a predicted model, not a curated record. The transcript has 4 exons.
GGACCAGGAAACAUGGUAACUCAAAAGAAAAGAUUUCACUGUUACUCCUCAUUGAUCAAUGUGAUAAAGAAGAUUCAUUCAUCAUCUAAAGAUCUAAUGUUCCCUCUCAAGAAUUUCAUUAGUCUGGGAUUUCAGCAGAAACCAGUGGAGAGCUUUAGUAUCCUGUGAUCUGUCUUCUUAUGACAUGGAGGGCUAAAAGCAUGUAGCUUUACCUUCCAACGGAACACUACAACAGCUGGUUGAAAAGGUCUUGCUGUUCCCAAUCGAUACUGGAGAAGCUUCAAAGAGGAUGGCAAAGUGCCAGAGGGCUCGCAGAGAAGACGUGCUCAGCUAGAAAGCAUCGUGGUCCGUGGAUCCUGACUUGUAUUAUGCUGCAUGCUUUACAUUAGCCCCCUCACAGGAAUCAAGCAAACACUUUUAUCAACACCUCUACUCAAAUCAUGACAGUCCCAAAAGUACUUGUGUCCACACUGUGUGCAUAAACCUUUCUAUUAACAAAAGGGGUACUGCUAUUUUCUGACUGAAGGUCGAAUGACUAAUAAUAGCAGAAGUUGAAGGUGGACAGAUACACUCGUUACA